CCAACAAUAAGUGUUUGAUUAACAAAUAUCCUCUCAUUUUUCACAAGUAAUGGCCAAACCAUCGUGUUCGUAUUUGCUCAUCUCCAUGUUAGUCCUCUCAGCUUUGUUGGCUUUGCCAAAUGUAGAGGGAUUCGAUAUCAAAAAAUGUAUUGAGGAGGUGGAACUUAGCAAGCCAUGCACUUAUCAAGAAUGCCAACACUUUUGUUUUAUGAAGUACAGAGGGGAGGGUGUUUGUCUCGGAGAUAAAUCCAAUAUGUGCGGUUGUACUUUCAUAUGCUGAGAUAUUUCUUAUAUCAUAAUGCUGUUAAACCGGACUUAUAUAUUCUAAAUGUUAUUGUACCCUGAGUUACUUGGAGAAUGAAUAAAACUCUCUCUCUCUCU
Non-coding RNA from Camelina sativa (false flax), 381 nucleotides. Lineage: Eukaryota; Viridiplantae; Streptophyta; Magnoliopsida; Brassicales; Brassicaceae. The record is from RefSeq and is a predicted model, not a curated record.